RNAcentral lists this ribosomal RNA (459 nucleotides) under uncultured bacterium. RNAcentral's name for it is "partial 16S ribosomal RNA". It matches the Rfam family "Bacterial small subunit ribosomal RNA", at positions 338 to 795 of the family's 1533-position model. The record is from RNAcentral.
CCUACGGGCGGCAGCAGUGAGGAAUAUUGGUCAAUGGUCGGGAGACUGAACCAGCCAAGCCGCGUGAGGGAGGAAGGUACAGAGUAUCGUAAACCUCUUUUGUCAGGGAACAAAGACUGGGACGCGUCCCCGGAUGAGUGUACCUGAAGAAAAAGCAUCGGCUAAUUCCGUGCCAGCAGCCGCGGUAAUACGGAGGAUGCGAGCGUUAUCCGGAUUUAUUGGGUUUAAAGGGUGCGCAGGCGGUCUGUUAAGUCAGCGGGCAAAGCCCGGGGCUCAACCCCGGCCCGCCGUUGAAACUGGCAGUCUCGAGUUGGAGAGAAGUAUGCGGAAUGCGCGGUGUAGCGGUGAAAUGCAUAGAUAUCGCGCAGAACUCCGAUUGCGAAGGCAGCAUGCCGGCUCCACACUGACGCUGAGGCACGAAAGCGUGGGUAUCGAACAGGAUUAGAUACCCCUGUAGUC